RNAcentral lists this ribosomal RNA (253 nucleotides) under uncultured bacterium. Its description in RNAcentral is "partial 16S ribosomal RNA". It matches the Rfam family "Bacterial small subunit ribosomal RNA", at positions 524 to 776 of the family's 1533-position model. The record is from RNAcentral.
UACGGGGGGGGCAAGCGUUGUUCGGAAUUACUGGGCGUAAAGGGCUCGUAGGCGGCCAACUAAGUCAGACGUGAAAUCCCUCGGCUUAACCGGGGAACUGCGUCUGAUACUGGAUGGCUUGAAUCCGGGAGAGGGAUGCGGAAUUCCAGGUGUAGCAGUGAAAUGCGUAGAUAUCAGGAGGAACACCUGUGGUGUAGACAGCUUACUGGACCAUAACUGACGCUGAGGCACGAAAGCGUGGGUAGCAAACAGG